Molecule: long non-coding RNA, 1218 nt
Filed under: Homo sapiens (human)
Lineage: Eukaryota; Metazoa; Chordata; Mammalia; Primates; Hominidae
Description: HSALNT0307596
Source: RNAcentral
UAUAGGAAACUCUUAUUAAUUCUCCAGACACCAUUAGCUCCAUUGCUCUAUGAUCCAGAAUCGUCCUCCACAUUCUCUUGAUAACACCGACCCCCUUGCUUCAGUGCUCUGGCUCGAGCUGUCUCUCCUGCUUGGGACAUGGUGUGUCAUCCUUGCUCUCUCCCCAGGCCCACCUCUACGCUCACCAGCUGAAAUCCCUGCACGUAUUUAAGACCCAAUAAGACGGCUUCUCAGAUACCCCAAAGCAGAAACUGAUUUCACUUUCUGCUACACACUCGUUUUGCUUCCUGUUUGAGCUUGUGUUCAUAAAAGGUGCUGAAUAAUGCUUUUUAGAUGGUUCCACAUUCAGUGUAGGAGAGUUAUGGAAUGCCCAUCCCAGUAUCAUUUGCAGCUGGUUCACAGAUUAUUGAGUAUAGAAUGAGAGUCCUGUGCAUAUACUUAGUGGUGAGCUGAAAACCAGAGCCUGCAAAAAGAUGAGUUGAAAAAAUUCUAGCUUUCAGUGAAUUUUGUUAGAAGACAAGUGAUUUCUUCCAUACCAUUAGAGUGGCACCUUUGUUGAGACAAUGAUGUGAAUGAAGAAAGUAGGAAGAAAUGCGUCAGUUUCAUCUUUAUGAAUUAAGACUAAUGAUAUCCAAUAUUGCACAGGGCUGUUUAAACUCCUGAUGGAUUGGUGUAACAAUCAUUCAAGGCGCCUAAGGACUUGCAAUUCCAAUUCUGGUAAGGUUGAUUUCUGGAUCAAACAGCCAGUAUCCCACAUUUUAGGAGGGCAUGAAAUCCAGGAACUUGAAGCACAGCUAAUUUGUCACUGAAUUAACAGAUGAGUCACUAGAGAAGCAGAAAUGUACCAACUGGUGGUGACUGUCAUUGCACUGAAGUAAAAGCAAGGCUCAAAAAGCAAAAUCUUCUUCCUGAAGCUACUUAACAAGCUUGGAAUAAAAAGUGUACCACUCUAGCUGGAGUUCUUUGCUCUUACCCACAAGCUCUCCCUGGUUCAGUCGCAAUGAUUUUCUACCAUAUGUCUGGGAGGUGAAACAGCACACUUCUUUCAUCUCUAGGUGAAAUGCUAAAUCACAGUUCUUCCUGUUUGCAAUCUGUGCCUUUGCUGGACUGCAUCAUAGUGAGGGUGAAGUUUAAAUGGCGUGUAGACACUGAACUCAGCAAGCAUGGGAGACUGAGGCAAGACACUUCUCUCCAGAAUGACCCUGACAUUUGUAUAGG